This 580-nucleotide ribosomal RNA is filed under the name uncultured bacterium. RNAcentral describes it as "bacterial SSU rRNA". It matches the Rfam family "Bacterial small subunit ribosomal RNA", at positions 102 to 669 of the family's 1533-position model. The record is from RNAcentral.
ACGGGUGAGUAACACGUAGGCAACCUGCCCUCAAGCUUGGGACAACUACCGGAAACGGUAGCUAAUACCGAAUACUUGUUUUCUUCGCCUGAAGGGAACUGGAAAGACGGAGCAAUCUGUCACUUGAGGAUGGGCCUGCGGCGCAUUAGCUAGUUGGUGAGGUAACGGCUCACCAAGGCGACGAUGCGUAGCCGACCUGAGAGGGUGAUCGGCCACACUGGGACUGAGACACGGCCCAGACUCCUACGGGAGGCAGCAGUAGGGAAUCUUCCGCAAUGGGCUAAAGCCUGACGGAGCAAUGCCGCGUGAGUGAUGAAGGUUUUCGGAUCGUAAAGCUCUGUUGCCAGGGAAGAACGCUUAGGAGAGUAACUGCUCCUGAGGUGACGGUACCUGAGAAGAAAGCCCCGGCUAACUACGUGCCAGCAGCCGCGGUAAUACGUAGGGGGCAAGCGUUGUCCGGAAUUAUUGGGCGUAAAGCGCGCGCAGGCGGUCAUUUAAGUCUGGUGUUUAAUCCCGGGGCUCAACCCCGGAUCGCACUGGAAACUGGGUGACUUGAGUGCAGAAGAGGAGAGUGGAAUUC